Molecule: long non-coding RNA, 1881 nt
Organism: Cyprinus carpio carpio
Lineage: Eukaryota; Metazoa; Chordata; Actinopteri; Cypriniformes; Cyprinidae
Source: Ensembl
GAUAAGGUGUUUGUUCUGUAAUCUGUUUUAAGACCACCUCAACUCUCAUACACACCUUGGAUCGGCAAACAUCCCACCUUGAGGAUGUAAGAAGAUAUUUUAGAGGUGUCUUCUCUUUAUCACCACCCGAUGGUGAGUAUGCAAACCUACAAGACACUGUCUGCUGCAUCAUGUUCUCACUACAGCAUUAAAACAUACAGCCAUAUACUCUCAAAAAAGUUAUAAAUAAAUCUUAGAAUAAUGAAAGGAAUCCAGAGGUUUUUUUUCCAGCUUCAUAAUCCAAGCGUUUCUUUCCAGGUGCAUCUCGAAGGAUGCUGCUUACCUGUUCUCUUUAUCACCACCCAACGGACAGAUUUGAAUCGAUGGCAGACGGGCCCUCUAAACCCACUCCAACUUCUGUCUUUCUCUCAGCCCACUUGGGAUCUGCAGUGUAAUACACCGCAGACUAAAUCCGGUGAUACUCCUGCAGUAUUUGAAGCAUGGGUGGCUGCAUAAUGAGCAGGCAGGCAGAGGGCUUGUGCAGAGAGGAGACCAGAGAGGCAGUAAAAGUCAGCAGUGGUAACCUUGUCCGCCCAUGGUCACGGGUCAUUUGGCAAGUGCGCUACGGAAUUCAUUUCACUAAGAAGGAGAGAAUGCGAGGGGAGAGCGAACGAGAGGAAAUAGGAGGUGACUGAGAGGGACAUUGAUGGAGCAAGAAGGAGAAGAAGAAUUUGAAUAGCAACAACAGCCUGAUGUCUCUUUUAACCUUUUUUAUCCAUAAACAUGGCAGCAUUAGGCUGUUUAAUGAUCAUUGUGCAGCUAUUUCUAAUGGAUUAUCUUAGUAAACAUCACAUCACCAUAGUAUUUUUAGACGCUUUUGCAUUCUGCCAAAAUGCUUAUGUAAAUGGAGUGUUUGGCCAAAAUUGCCUCCAAGUGCACAUCAUAUAUAUAUACAUUCAUUAGUGCUGUCAAGCAAUUAGUCACAAUUAAUCGCAUCCAGAAUAAAAGUUUUUGUUUACGUAAUAUAUGUGUGUGUACUGUGUAUAUGUAUUAUGUAUAUAUAAAUACACACAAAUGCAUAUAUUUAAGAAAAAUAUGUUAUGUUUGUAUAUUAAAUAUAUGUGUUUAUAUAAUAUAAAUAUGAACAUAAACAUAUAUUUGUAAAUACAUGUAAAUAUUUUCAAAAUAUAUGCUGUGUGUGAGUGAGUGUGUGUGUGUGUAUAUAUAUAUAUAUAUAUAUAUAUAUAUAUAUAUAUAUAUAUAUAUAUAUAUAUAUAUAUCUCAAAUUUGCACUUACAUGCAUUUACUUUACUAAUAACUGUAAAUUAUUCAUAAUUAAGGAGAUACUGAUUUGAAUAGCAGCAAUUGUACUUUUACAAAACCCUGAUGUCACGUUAAACCUUUUUAAUCAAUAUACAAGGCUGAAUUUUGAAUUUUGUUGCUAUUUCUGAUUUAUCAUCUUAGUAAACAUCAUUGGUCAUACUUUCAGGCACUUUUGCACUCUGCCAAAAGUCAUUUUCAGUGUGUUAAUAAUAAUUGUUUGGCCAAAAUGGUCCCCAUGUGCACUUCACUGUUUGCUUUUUCACUCAAUAAGUAUUUGAAACAUGCCAUGAUUUUUGAUUAACAAGAACAAGUUUGUUCCAUACAGGCAGUUUGGCAAUAAGACAUUGAGUUAGCAUAACUCUUAUGACUGUGUUGCCACAGCUUUUCCGACGCAAGAAACAAAAGUAUCCUAUUUGUUUAUAAUCCAUGCCCGUUUUUUUUCUAAAACUGGCCUUCCCAGCCUGCAUGUAUGAGGUUAUUGUUGAGACUAUGCUGAGCUUUGACACGUACAUCUUUGAAAACAGAAAGGAAUAUCAGUAGACAUUCCUUGAGAAAUUAGAGAGCACAACUCAAGUUGGG